Molecule: long non-coding RNA, 2503 nt
Organism: Mustela lutreola (European mink)
Lineage: Eukaryota; Metazoa; Chordata; Mammalia; Carnivora; Mustelidae
Exons: 3
Source: RefSeq, a predicted model, not a curated record
CAAGUUUCUGGCGCCACAGCCUCGCCAUGUUGCACAGACAGCCUCCUCGCUCGCGACCUUACUUGUGGAGGACCCCUCCCGCUGCGAGUGCCCCCGUCAAGCCUGUCGGACUACUCUUCCUCAGGUGAUUGAUCCAGUGCUGUCUGAAUAACUGGCUUCUUGGGAAAUCAAAGUAAAGGAGUAAACUUCAUGUGCUUCUGCCCUGUAAAAACCAUGGAAGUAUGUUGACGGCAUUCAAGAGGAAUGUCAAAGAAAUGGCCACAUCAAACAAACAGAUCAAUCAGGAUUGGAAAGAAAAAGCCAAAAAUAAGUGAAAGAGACACAGCAAGAGAAGGAACAGAAGCAGGCGAGUGGAAGCGGGAGAAGCAGGCUUCCUGCUGAGCAGGGAUCCUGAUGCAAGGCUUGAUCCCAGAACCCUGGGAUCAUGACCCAAGCUGAAGGCAGAUACCUAACUGACUGAGCCACCCUGGCGCCACAAACAAGAGCAUUUUAAAGGCCCCAAUGUAUUCUAUAAUUAGUCCUAUCCUUAACCAGAAUGGUUUACUCUUAACCAAACUAUAAUUUCUAGGGAAUGGGGCAAGCAAUGCAUACUGGGUUGGUUAUAUGAGUAUUUUAUAAGUUGCAAGUGAAUACAAUACAUUUAUAGAACUGACCUAUAAGGAAAGAAGAACAUUAGAGAAAGAAUCGGAAAACACAAGUUCUAGUCCUGGCUCUGUUGCUACCUAAUCAAGUCACUUAACCUCUUUUAGCCUCAAUUUUCCUUCUAUAAUACAACUCCUAAAAAUAAGUCCCGUGCUUUGAGCUAAAAAACAGAAAACAAAAACAAAACAAAAAACUACAACAUAUGUGAAAACUGCUCUAUAAAACUAUAACAUGGACUAUAAACAUUUUCCUAGAAUAUAAAUCUUUAUCUCAGCUAGCUUUUCUUUAGGACAGGAAUGGACACUGCUAGUAAUUUGGUACCACACUUUCAAUUACAUGUUUUAUUUUGCAAAGUAAAAGGGCCUUCUAUCAAAACAUCUUAUUUAAAAUCAUAUUCUAUGUGUUCUGGAGCAGGGGGACCAGGAGGGAGCUGCAGUUGGAGGGGAGGGGAAAAUGGAGGGGAAAUGUUUUCUUUUGGAAGACAGUUUUGGCAGCGAAGAAGCACCCUCUAUUCCCAGACUCUCUUCAAUCUGGUAUGUCGAAAGAGUUAAGACCCAGAGAAAAGCAGAAGGAUCAGUACCGUUCAUUAAUAAAACUGAAUGUAUGAUGAUUGCUCAAAGCAUGCUGCUGAAAUUCCAAGCUGUCAAUACAGAAAUAGUGGUUAAAGGACCCAGAAAGAUCAUUCAUCUGUUGCCGGAGAAAAAAGGACCUGCAGAUCCAGAGUUAAGACAAAAGGAGGUGGAGUAAGAAAAGUAAAGGUAAUUCUCUCUAGGAUCCUAACGAUUCACCAUUAAAAAUCAUAUGUAAUGAAGUACCCUGGACUGGAUCUUAGAACAGAAAAAGGAAAUCUGUAGGAAAGCAUACAAAAGCCACAAAAAGUUUGGGAUUUACUUAGUAGUAUACCAAUGUUAACCUCUUAGUUUUGACAAACGUACCAGAAUUAUAUAAGAAGCUAACAUAGGGCAACUGGGUGAAGAGUAUACGGGAACUCGCUAUACUAUCUGUGACUUUUUUGUAAGCGUAAAGUUAUUGUAAAAUAAAAAGCUUAUUUAAAAAAAAAAACAACCAUGGAUUUGCUCUCCCUUCAGAAAAUUUAUGCAUCAAUUACUAAAAUCUUUUAAGGGUCAGGUUUUUCAAACUGAAAUGUUACCAUCUACUGGACAGAAGGAAAUUAUGGAUUCAUUCCUAUACAUGACUAAUUAUUAAUAAUAAUAAUGGGGCUUCUAAUAAAUUCAAAAUAUAAAACGAUUGUGGCAUAAACAAAUAGAAUGAACCACAAUGUAAUCCUGAAGAGAAAAAUUCCUAAUUCUAAAAUUGCACAUACGAGGAGUCCCUGAGUGGCUCAGUGGGUUAAGUGACUGACUUCAGCUUGGUCAUGAUCUCAGGGUUGUGAGAUCAAGCCCUCCUCUGGGUUCCCCACUCAGGGGGGAGUCUGCUUCCCUUCUCCCUCUGUUCUUCCCCCAACUUAUGUGCUCAUUCUCUCUCUCUCUCUCUGAAAUAAACAAAUAAAUCUUAAAAAAAUAAAAAAUAAAAUCACACAUGCAAAACACCACCUAUGAGAUAUCAAGUUGGAUUGUUUUAUCAAUAUCCUCAAUUAUUCAACCCUUUCACAAUCCUAUAAAUUUCUCUUCUACCUACCUCUGUAUGUAUUGUAUAAACAUGAGUUAAGUGAUCUCUCAAAUAAUCUGCUUUAGAUAUCAGAAGUAAUACCAAAAAAUGAUAAAUAUUAUCUAUUUAACCUGAAUACUCACAGACCUUCAGGCAGAGAGAUCAGAUAUCUCUCUGGGGUGGCAAAUGUAGGCUACUUGUAUAUCUAUCCUGACAUGUAUUUACAAAGGAUAAGCUAAUGAAAAUCUAACUU